RNAcentral lists this unclassified non-coding RNA (385 nucleotides) under soil metagenome. RNAcentral describes it as "partial contains 5.8S ribosomal RNA, internal transcribed spacer 2, and large subunit ribosomal RNA". The stretch from base 1 to 120 matches the Rfam family "5.8S ribosomal RNA", at positions 35 to 154 of the family's 154-position model. The record is from RNAcentral.
GAUGAAGAACGUAGCGAAAUGCGAUAAGUAAUGUGAAUUGCAGAAUUCAGUGAAUCAUCGAAUCUUUGAACGCACCUUGCACCCUUUGGCAUUCCGAAGGGUAUGCUCGUUUGAGUGUCAUUGUACUCUCACACUCUCCGAUCCUAUGGAUUCGGGGAGCGGUGGACUUGGGUGUUGCUGCCUUUCCUUGUGGCUCACCUCAAAUGCGUCAGUGCACCUCUUGGUUGGACAUAGUACGGCGUGAUAAGUGUCUUCGCCGGCACCUCGCAAGAGGGUGGCCGAUCGGGAGCUCUGCGCUUUCAAACCGUCUUCGGACAAUUUCUGACAACUUGACCUCAAAUCGAGUAGGACUACCCGCUGAACUUAAGCAUAUCAAAGCGGAGGA